UCCCUCAGAGCUGGUUUCAUUUCUGCAACUGCUCACACAGCUGGUUUAUACUGAAACCUGUGCACGCUCCGGACACGGAAGACGGAGCCCUAUGUGACAGGUUUCAGUUGUAGGAAAUACACUAAAAAUGUCAUGGCCAGGUGUCUGGCUGGAACUCUCUCUGAGGCUGAAACAGCUGUGACCCUGUCCUCCAGGUCGCCCUCCGACUCCAGCUCCCAGUCUGACCUCUGCGACCCUCGCUCCCCGUCGGACACAGCAGAGAAAG
Myotis myotis is the source of this 265-nucleotide long non-coding RNA. RefSeq lists it as uncharacterized. The record is from RefSeq and is a predicted model, not a curated record. NCBI's taxonomy places the organism in Eukaryota, Metazoa, Chordata, Mammalia, Chiroptera, Vespertilionidae. The transcript is spliced from 2 exons.